Molecule: ribosomal RNA, 221 nt
Filed under: uncultured bacterium
Lineage: Bacteria
Description: partial 16S ribosomal RNA
Rfam family: Bacterial small subunit ribosomal RNA
Source: RNAcentral
UACGAAGGGGGCGAGCGUUGUUCGGAUUUACUGGGCGUAAAGGGCGCGCAGGCGGUUCUGUUUGUCGAGUGUGAAAGCCCCGGGCUCAACCUGGGAACUGCGCUCGAAACGGCGGAACUAGAGUUCGGGAGAGGAGAGUGGAAUUCCCAGUGUAGGAGGUGAAAUUCGUAGAUAUUGGGAAGAACACCGGUGGCGAAGGCGGCUCUCUGGACCGAUACUGA